Molecule: ribosomal RNA, 322 nt
Filed under: Micrococcus luteus
Lineage: Bacteria; Bacillati; Actinomycetota; Actinomycetes; Micrococcales; Micrococcaceae
Description: bacterial SSU rRNA
Rfam family: Bacterial small subunit ribosomal RNA
Source: RNAcentral
UAAGUGCCCCGCCUGGGGAGUACGGCCGCAAGGCUAAAACUCAAAGGAAUUGACGGGGGCCCGCACAAGCGGCGGAGCAUGCGGAUUAAUUUGAUGCAACGCGAAGAACCUUACCAAGGCUUGACAUGUUCUUGAUCGCCGUAGAGAUACGGUUUCCCCUUUGGGGCGGGUUCACAGGUGGUGCAUGGUUGUUGUCAGCUCGUGUCGUGAGAUGUUGGGUUAAGUCCCGCAACGAGCGCAACCCUCGUUCCAUGUUGCCAGCACGUAAUGGUGGGGAAUCAUGGGAGACUGCCGGGGUCAACUCGGAGGAAGGUGAGGAAGA